AAGCUGAGGCCGACAGUGGNGCGAUGGAUAACAGGUUGAUAUUCCUGUACCACCUAUAAUCGUUUUAAUCGAUGGGGGGACGCAUAGGAUAGGCGACGUGUCGAUUGGAUUGCACGUCUAAGCAGUAAGGCUGAGUAUUAGGCAAAUCCGGUACUCGUUAAGGCUGAGCUGUGAUGGGGAGAAGACAUUGUGUCUUCGAGGUCGUUGAUUUCACACUGCCGAGAAAAGCCUCUAGAUAGAAAAUAGGUGCCCGUACCGCAAACCGACACAGGUAGUCAAGAUGAGAAUUCUAAGGUGAGCGAGCGAACUCUCGUUAAGGAACUCGGCAAAAUGACCCCGUAACUUCGGGAGAAGGGGUGCUCUUUAGGGUUAACGCCCAGAAGAGCCGCAGUGAAUAGGCCCAAGCGACUGUUUAUCAAAAACACAGGUCUCUGCUAAACCGUAAGUGANUGUAUAGGGGCUGACGCCUGCCCGGUGCUGGAAGGUUAAGAGGAGUGGUUAGCUUCUGCGAACUACGAAUCGAAGCCCCAGUAAACGGCGGCCGUAACUAUAACGGUCCUAAGGUAGCGAAAUUCCUUGUCGGGUAAGUUCCGACCCGCACGAAAGGCGUAACGAUUUGGGCACUGUCUCAACGAGAGACUCGGUGAAAUCAUAGUACCUGUGAAGAUGCAGGUUACCCGCGACAGGACGGAAAGACCCCGUGGAGCUUUACUGUAGCCUGAUAUUGAAAUUCGGCACAGCUUGUACAGGAUAGGUAGGAGCCUUUGAAACGUGAGCGCUACUUACGUGGAGGCGCUGGUGGGAUACUACCCUAGCUGUGUUGGCUUUCUAACCCGCACCACUUAUCGUGGUGGGAGACAGUGUCAGGCGGGCAGUUUGACUGGGGCGGUCGCCUCCUAAAAGGUAACGGAGGCGCUCAAAGGUUCCCUCAGAAUGGUUGGAAAUCAUUCAUAGAGUGUAAAGGCAUAAGGGAGCUUGACUGCGAGACCUACAAGUCGAGCAGGGUCGAAAGACGGACUUAGUGAUCCGGUGGUUCCGCAUGGAAGGGCCAUCGCUCAACGGAUAAAAGCUACCCCGGGGAUAACAGGCUUAUCUCCCCCAAGAGUUCACAUCGACGGGGAGGUUUGGCACCUCGAUGUCGGCUCAUCGCAUCCUGGGGCUGUAGUCGGUCCCAAGGGUUGGGCUGUUCGCCCAUUAAAGCGGUACRMGGCUGGGUUCAGAACGUCGUGAGACAGUUCGGUCCCUAUCCGUCGUGGGCGUAGGAAAUUUGAGAGGAGCUGUCCUUAGUACGAGAGGACCGGGAUGGACAUACCUCUGGUGUACCAGUUGUCGUGCCAACGCAUNAGCUGGGUAGCUAUGUGUGGACGGGAUAAGUGCUGAAACAUNCUNAAGCAUGAAGCCCCCCUCAAGAUGAGAUUUCCCAACUUCGGUUAUAAGAUCCCUCAAAGAUGAUGAGGUUAAUAGGUUCGAGGUGGAAGCAUGGUGACAUGUGGGAGCUGACGAAUACUAAUCGAUCGAAGACUUAAUCAA
This 1530-nucleotide ribosomal RNA is filed under the name unidentified. Its description in RNAcentral is "bacterial LSU rRNA". It matches the Rfam family "Bacterial large subunit ribosomal RNA", at positions 1394 to 2925 of the family's 2925-position model. The record is from RNAcentral.